This 541-nucleotide ribosomal RNA is filed under the name uncultured archaeon. Its description in RNAcentral is "bacterial SSU rRNA". It matches the Rfam family "Archaeal small subunit ribosomal RNA", at positions 459 to 999 of the family's 1478-position model. The record is from RNAcentral.
CAGCCGCCGCGGUAAUACCGGCUGCUCGAGUGAUGGCCACUAUUACUGGGUUUAAAGCGUCCGUAGCUUGACUGUUAGGUCUCUUGGGAAAUCUUCACGCUCAACGUGAAGGCGUCUAAGAGAUACCGGCAGUCUUGGAACUGGGAGAGGUAAACCGUACUUCGGGGGUAGGAGUGAAAUCUUGUAAUCCUCGAGGGACGACCUAUGGCGAAGGCAGUUUACCAGAACAGCUUCGACAGUGAGGGACGAAAGCUGGGGGAGCAAACGGGAUUAGAUACCCCGGUAGUCCCAGCCGUAAACAAUGUGCGUUAGGUGUGUCGGUAACCACGUGUUACUGAUGCGCCGAAGAGAAAUCGUGAAACGCACCACCUGGGAAGUACGGUCGCAAGGCUGAAACUUAAAGGAAUUGGCGGGGGAGCACCACAACAGGUGGAGCCUGCGGUUUAAUUGGAUUCAACGCCGGACAUCUCACCGGAUAAGACAGCUGAAUGAUUGUCAAUCUGAAGGUUUUACAUGACUAGCUGAGAGGUGGUGCAUGGCC